CCUACGGGUGGCAGCAGUGGGGAAUAUUGCACAAUGGGGGAAACCCUGAUGCAGCGACGCCGCGUGAGCGAAGAAGUAUUUCUGUAUGUAAAGCUCUAUCAGCAGGGAAGAAAAUGACGGUACCUGAGUAAGAAGCUCCGGCUAACUACGUGCCAGCAGCCGCGGUAAUACGUAUGGGGCAAGCGUUAUCCGGAUUUACUGGGUGUAAAGGGAGCGUAGACGGCCUGGCAAGCCAGAUGUGAAAUACCGGGGCUCAACCCCGGGGCUGCAUUUGAAACUGGUAGGCUGGAGUGUCGGAGAGGCAGGCGGAAUUCCUAGUGUAGCGGUGAAAUGCGUAGAUAUUAGGAGGAACACCAGUGGCGAAGGCGGCCUGCUGGACGGUGACUGACGCUGAGGCUCGAAAGCGUGGGGAGCAAACAGGAUUAGAUACCCGUGUAGUC
Molecule: ribosomal RNA, 440 nt
Filed under: uncultured bacterium
Lineage: Bacteria
Description: partial 16S ribosomal RNA
Rfam family: Bacterial small subunit ribosomal RNA
Source: RNAcentral